Molecule: ribosomal RNA, 435 nt
Filed under: uncultured bacterium
Lineage: Bacteria
Description: partial 16S ribosomal RNA
Rfam family: Bacterial small subunit ribosomal RNA
Source: RNAcentral
AGCGAGCGCUGGCGGCAGGCUUAACACAUGCAAGUCGAGCGGGCACUUUCGGGUGUCAGCGGCGGACGGGUGAGUAACGCGUGGGAACGUGCCCUCUGGUUCGGAAUAACUCAGGGAAACUUGAGCUAAUACCGGAUACGCCCUUUUGGGGAAAGGCUUGCUGCCGGAGGAUCGGCCCGCGUCUGAUUAGCUAGUUGGUGAGGUAACGGCUCACCAAGGCGACGAUCAGUAGCUGGUCUGAGAGGAUGAUCAGCCACACUGGGACUGAGACACGGCCCAGAAUCCUACGGGAGGCAGCAGUGGGGAAUAUUGGACAAUGGGCGCAAGCCUGAUCCAGCCAUGCCGCGUGAGUGAUGAAGGCCUUAGGGUUGUAAAGCUCUUUUAUCCGGGACGAUAAUGACGGUACCGGAGGAAUAAGCCCCGGCUAACUUCGUG